UACCUCAAAAUUCCGCAACAGUCUGUUUCAUCAGUAAAGAAUCAUCAGGCAGUAUCCUGAUGAUUCUUUACUGAUGAAACAGACUGUUGCGGAAUUU
Molecule: non-coding RNA, 97 nt
Organism: Paramuricea clavata
Lineage: Eukaryota; Metazoa; Cnidaria; Anthozoa; Malacalcyonacea; Plexauridae
Source: the annotation of a GenBank genome assembly